This 393-nucleotide ribosomal RNA is filed under the name uncultured bacterium. RNAcentral's name for it is "partial 16S ribosomal RNA". It matches the Rfam family "Bacterial small subunit ribosomal RNA", at positions 523 to 918 of the family's 1533-position model. The record is from RNAcentral.
CUACGGAGGAUCCGAGCGUUAUCCGGAUUUAUUGGGUUUAAAGGGAGCGUAGGCGGACUAUUAAGUCAGCUGUGAAAGUUUGCGGCUCAACCGUAAAAUUGCAGUUGAUACUGGUCGUCUUGAGUGCAGUAGAGGUAGGCGGAAUUCGUGGUGUAGCGGUGAAAUGCUUAGAUAUCACGAAGAACUCCGAUUGCGAAGGCAGCUUACUGGACUGUAACUGACGCUGAUGCUCGAAAGUGUGGGUAUCAAACAGGAUUAGAUACCCUGGUAGUCCACACAGUAAACGAUGAAUACUCGCUGUUUGCGAUAUACGGCAAGCGGCCAAGUGAAAGCAUUAAGUAUUCCACCUGGGGAGUACGCCGGCAACGGUGAAACUCAAAGGAAUUGACGGGG